AUUUAUUAGAUAUUAGACCAAUCGCAGCGAUGUGAUUGAGAUGAUUCAAAGUAACUGAUCGAAUCGUAGCUUGCUACGAUAAAUCAUCUAAGUUUCUGCCCUAUCAGCUCUCGAUGGUAGUGUAUUGGACUACCAUGGCAGUCACGGGUAACGGAGAAUUAGGGUUCGAUUCCGGAGAAGGAGCCUGAGAAACGGCUACUACAACUACGGUUUGGCAGCAGGGAAGAAAAUUGGCCAAUCCUAAUUCAGGGAGCCAGUGACAAGAAAUAGCAAACCGGGAAACUCAGUUUCUACGGUAUUGAAAUGAGAACAGUGUUAAUCUCUUAGCGAGGAACAAUUGGAGGGCAAGCCUGGUGCCAGCAGCCGCGGUAAUUCCAGCUCCAAUAGCGUAUAUUAAAGUUGUUGCAGUUAAAAAGCUCGUAGUUGAACUUCUGCCCAGGACUAUUUCGAUUCGUCGGGUAGUGCUGGGCAUACGUCUGCAAGCUAAAAUCGGCCUUUACUGGUUCGACUUAGUAAGUAGACAUUUUACUGUGAAAAAAUUAGAGUGUUUCAGGCAGGUUUUAGCCCGUAUACAUUAGCAUGGAAUAAUGGAAUAGGACUGAGUCCAUUUUAUUGGUUCUUGGAUUUAGUAAUGAUUAAUAGGGACAGUUGGGGGCAUUAGUAUUUAAUAGUCAGAGGUGAAAUUCUUGGAUUUAUUAAGGACUAACUAAUGCGAAAGCAUUUGCCAAAGAUGUUUUCAUUAAUCAAGAACGAAAGUUAGGGGAUCAAAGACGAUCAGAUACCGUCGUAGUCUUAACUAUAAACUAUACCGACUCGGGAUCGGCUGGAACACACGUGUCCAGUCGGCACCGUAUGAGAAAUCAAAGUCUUUGGGUUCUGGGG
Molecule: ribosomal RNA, 882 nt
Filed under: Dexiostoma laceyvillensis
Lineage: Eukaryota; Ciliophora; Oligohymenophorea; Hymenostomatida; Turaniellidae
Description: SSU rRNA
Rfam family: Eukaryotic small subunit ribosomal RNA
Source: RNAcentral